RNAcentral lists this ribosomal RNA (21 nucleotides) under Sarcandra glabra. RNAcentral's name for it is "partial 26S ribosomal RNA". The record is from RNAcentral. Lineage: Eukaryota; Viridiplantae; Streptophyta; Magnoliopsida; Chloranthales; Chloranthaceae.
CCAGGUCAGGCGGGGCCACCC